GCCUGCAUUACUGGGCGAGUCUUCCUUGGCAGUGUUCGCAUCUACAGCGCUGCCCGUACGGCGGUCGAUCGAUCGGCCACCGCCAAAGGAGAUUUGCCCAGCGAUGCAGCU
RNAcentral lists this microRNA precursor (111 nucleotides) under Dichanthelium oligosanthes. RNAcentral describes it as "mir-399 microRNA precursor family". It matches the Rfam family "mir-399 microRNA precursor family". From Rfam's summary of the family: mir-399 was identified in both Arabidopsis thaliana and Oryza sativa computationally and was later experimentally verified. mir-399 is thought to target mRNAs coding for a phosphatase transporter. The mature sequence is excised from the 3' arm of the hairpin. The record is from Rfam by way of RNAcentral. Lineage: Eukaryota; Viridiplantae; Streptophyta; Magnoliopsida; Poales; Poaceae.